This 276-nucleotide ribosomal RNA is filed under the name Clostridioides difficile. RNAcentral's name for it is "partial 16S ribosomal RNA". It matches the Rfam family "Bacterial small subunit ribosomal RNA", at positions 1 to 284 of the family's 1533-position model. Lineage: Bacteria; Bacillati; Bacillota; Clostridia; Peptostreptococcales; Peptostreptococcaceae. The record is from RNAcentral.
UUUUAUUUGAGAGUUUGAUCCUGGCUCAGGAUGAACGCUGGCGGCGUGCCUAACACAUGCAAGUUGAGCGAUUUACUUCGGUAAAGAGCGGCGGACGGGUGAGUAACGCGUGGGUAACCUACCCUGUACACACGGAUAACAUACCGAAAGGUAUGCUAAUACGGGAUAAUAUAUUUGAGAGGCAUCUCUUAAAUAUCAAAGGUGAGCCAGUACAGGAUGGACCCGCGUCUGAUUAGCUAGUUGGUAAGGUAACGGCUUACCAAGGCGACGAUCAGU